GCUCCAGUGGCUUAGUGGUUUGAGCGUCCGCCUCGCACGCGGGAGGUCGCGGGUUUGAACCGUUGCCGAGUCA
Potamilus streckersoni is the source of this 73-nucleotide non-coding RNA. The record is from the annotation of a GenBank genome assembly. NCBI's taxonomy places the organism in Eukaryota, Metazoa, Mollusca, Bivalvia, Unionida, Unionidae.